CGCCCCCGCCGCUGGUCACGCAGAUGGACGGAGCCUACAGACCGGCCCCUGUCUGACUCUACUUUAGAGUGUCCUCUUCUUCAAAGAGGUGGCCGUGACAGCUGAAAGGGCAGAAGCAGGGGACAGGUGAUGCAGCUUGGGGGGGAGUGACUGUUAAAUGGCCACGGAGCACACUGAGGUAAGUUGUUGCAGUCCAUGGGAGGGAAAGGGG
This 211-nucleotide long non-coding RNA is filed under the name Cavia porcellus (domestic guinea pig). Its description in RNAcentral is "lncRNA (ENSCPOG00000037654.1)". The record is from RNAcentral. Lineage: Eukaryota; Metazoa; Chordata; Mammalia; Rodentia; Caviidae.